RNAcentral lists this transfer RNA (74 nucleotides) under Halococcus sp. IIIV-5B. Its description in RNAcentral is "tRNA-Leu". It matches the Rfam family "tRNA". Rfam says of the family: Transfer RNA (tRNA) molecules are approximately 80 nucleotides in length. The record is from RNAcentral. Lineage: Archaea; Methanobacteriati; Methanobacteriota; Halobacteria; Halobacteriales; Halococcaceae.
GGGGCUCUAACUCAGUCUGGUAGAGUAGCCCACUUAGGAUGGGAAAGCCCCGGGUUCGAAUCCCGGGAGCUCGA